This 253-nucleotide ribosomal RNA is filed under the name uncultured bacterium. Its description in RNAcentral is "partial 16S ribosomal RNA". It matches the Rfam family "Bacterial small subunit ribosomal RNA", at positions 524 to 776 of the family's 1533-position model. The record is from RNAcentral.
UACAGAGGGGGCAAGCGUUGUUCGGAAUUACUGGGCGUAAAGGGCGCGUAGGCGGCCUUCUAAGUCGGACGUGAAAUCCCCGGGCUCAACCCGGGAACUGCGUCCGAGACUGGGAGGCUUGAAUCCGGGAGAGGGAUGUGGAAUUCCAGGUGUAGCGGUGAAAUGCGUAGAUAUCUGGAGGAACAUCGGUGGCGAAGGCGGCAUCCUGGACCGGUAUUGACGCUGAGGCGCGAAAGCCAGGGGAGCAAACGGG